RNAcentral lists this ribosomal RNA (497 nucleotides) under uncultured bacterium. RNAcentral describes it as "partial 16S ribosomal RNA". It matches the Rfam family "Bacterial small subunit ribosomal RNA", at positions 28 to 507 of the family's 1533-position model. The record is from RNAcentral.
GAUGAACGCUGGCGGCGUGCCUAAUACAUGCAAGUCGAGCGAACGGACGAGAAGCUUGCUUUUCUGAUGUUAGCGGCGGACGGGUGAGUAACACGUGGAUAACCUACCUAUAAGACUGGGAUAACUUCGGGAAACCGGAGCUAAUACCGGAUAAUAUUUUGAACCGCAUGGUUCAAAAGUGAAAGACGGUUUUGCUGUCACUUAUAGAUGGAUCCGCGCCGCAUUAGCUAGUUGGUAAGGUAACGGCUUACCAAGGCGACGAUGCGUAGCCGACCUGAGGGGGUGAUCGGCCACACUGGAACUGAGACACGGUCCAGACUCCUACGGGAGGCAGCAGUAGGGAAUCUUCCGCAAUGGGCGAAAGCCUGACGGAGCAACGCCGCGUGAGUGAUGAAGGUCUUCGGAUCGUAAAACUCUGUUAUUAGGGAAGAACAAAUGUGUAAGUAACUAUGCACGUCUUGACGGUACCUAAUCAGAAAGCCACGGCUAACUACGUG